This 429-nucleotide ribosomal RNA is filed under the name Bacteroidota bacterium. RNAcentral describes it as "Bacteroidetes bacterium partial 16S ribosomal RNA". It matches the Rfam family "Bacterial small subunit ribosomal RNA", at positions 355 to 776 of the family's 1533-position model. Lineage: Bacteria; Pseudomonadati; Bacteroidota. The record is from RNAcentral.
UAGGGAAUCUUCCGCAAUGGACGCAAGUCUGACGGAGCAACGCCGCGUGAGUGAAGAAGGCUUUCGGUUCGUAAAACUCUGUUGUUAGAGAAGAACAGCGCAUAGAGUAACUGUUAUGCGUGUGACGGUAUCUAACCAGAAAGCCACGGCUAACUACGUGCCAGCAGCCGCGGUAAUACGUAGGUGGCAAGCGUUGUCCGGAUUUAUUGGGCGUAAAGCGAGCGCAGGCGGUCAAUUAAGUCUGAUGUGAAAGCCCCCGGCUCAACCGGGGAGGGUCAUUGGAAACUGGUUGACUUGAGUGCAGAAGAGGAGAGUGGAAUUCCAUGUGUAGAGGUGAAAUGCGUAGAUAUAUGGAGGAACACCGGUGGCGAAAGCGGCUCUCUGGUCUGUAACUGACGCUGAGGCUCGAAAGCGUGGGGAGCGAACAGG